AUUGAACGCUGGCGGCAGGCUUAACACAUGCAAGUCGAGCGGGGGAAGGUAGCUUGCUACCGGACCUAGCGGCGGACGGGUGAGUAAUGCUUAGGAAUCUGCCUAUUAGUGGGGGACAACAUCUCGAAAGGGAUGCUAAUACCGCAUACGUCCUACGGGAGAAAGCAGGGGAUCUUCGGACCUUGCGCUAAUAGAUGAGCCUAAGUCGGAUUAGCUAGUUGGUGGGGUAAAGGCCUACCAAGGCGACGAUCUGUAGCGGGUCUGAGAGGAUGAUCCGCCACACUGGGACUGAGACACGGCACAGAAUCCUACGGGAGGCAGCAGUGGGGAAUAUUGGACAAUGGGGGGAGCCCUGAUCCAGCCAUGCCGCGUGUGUGAAGAAGGCCUUAUGGUUGUAAAGCACUUUAAGCGAGGAGGAGGCUACUCUAGUUAAUACCUAGGGAUAGUGGACGUUACUCGCAGAAUAAGCACCGGCUAACUCUGUGCCAGCCGCCGCGGUAA
RNAcentral lists this ribosomal RNA (501 nucleotides) under uncultured bacterium. RNAcentral's name for it is "partial 16S ribosomal RNA". It matches the Rfam family "Bacterial small subunit ribosomal RNA", at positions 30 to 523 of the family's 1533-position model. The record is from RNAcentral.